Arvicanthis niloticus (Nile rat) is the source of this 105-nucleotide small nuclear RNA. The record is from RefSeq and is a predicted model, not a curated record. NCBI's taxonomy places the organism in Eukaryota, Metazoa, Chordata, Mammalia, Rodentia, Muridae.
GUGUUCCCUUCUGUAGCCCAGGUAUUAAAACUUGGAACAACAUAGAGAUCCACAUGGCCCCUGCUCGAGGAUGAUACACAAGUUCAUGAGAUAUUCCAUAUUUUU